AUGUGGAUAGCAUUGUCACUCAUGGGUGGUGGAGAACCGGAGAAGGAAAUGCAGUGUCUUGCCAUCCUGCAACAGUUGCGACUUGUAGACAUCCUUGUCAUGAAGGCAUGUUUCUCGUGCUCCAUUCUUGACGGUGACAGGGAGGUAGCGGGCAUCCAAGACACUCAAAAGCCCGGAGAGAGAACGCAAUGCCAUGGCCAGCACAAAAGGCAGGCGAUGAAGAAAAGUAUAGUGUAUGGUGGUGAUAAGCUAACCCUACAAGGAGCACUCCCAAGAUCGGAUCCAGUCCACCACCAGGCUUGA
This 303-nucleotide ribosomal RNA is filed under the name Triticum aestivum (bread wheat). RNAcentral's name for it is "partial small subunit ribosomal RNA". Lineage: Eukaryota; Viridiplantae; Streptophyta; Magnoliopsida; Poales; Poaceae. The record is from RNAcentral.